GAAACGCGAUAGUUAAUGUGAAUUGCAGAAUUCAGUGAAUCAUCGAGUCUUUGAACGCACAUUGCGCCCAUUGGUAUUCCUUUGGGCAUGUCUGUUCGAGCGUCAUUUCAACCCUCAGAACCCCUUGCGGGAUCUGGCGUUGGGGAUUGGCAUCCAGCCAGCCCCGAAAUCUAGUGGCGGUCCCUCCGCGACCUCCCCUGUGCAGUAGCGAUACCUCGCAGCGGGACAGCGGUCUGACCACGCCGUAAAACCCCCAACUUCUCAAGGUUGACCUCGAAUCAGGUAGGAAUACCCGCUGAACUUAAGC
RNAcentral lists this unclassified non-coding RNA (307 nucleotides) under plant metagenome. Its description in RNAcentral is "partial contains 5.8S ribosomal RNA, internal transcribed spacer 2, and large subunit ribosomal RNA". The stretch from base 1 to 105 matches the Rfam family "5.8S ribosomal RNA", at positions 50 to 154 of the family's 154-position model. The record is from RNAcentral.